GGGAGGGAAGGGGUGACUAGUGACAGAGUGAGGGAGAUGGUGAUUAGUGACAGAGGGAGGGAUGGGGUGACUAGUGACAGUCACCACCUCCUUCACUCUGUCACUGUGUCACCCCCUCCCUCACUUUGUCACUGUGUCACCCCCUUCCUCACUCUGUCACUAGUCACCCCCUCUCUCACUCUGUCACCAGUCACUCCCUCCCUCUGUCACUAGUCACUCCCUCUCUCACUCUGUCACUAGUCACCCCCUUCCUCACUC
Pelobates cultripes (western spadefoot toad) is the source of this 258-nucleotide non-coding RNA. The record is from the annotation of a GenBank genome assembly. Lineage: Eukaryota; Metazoa; Chordata; Amphibia; Anura; Pelobatidae.